This 267-nucleotide ribosomal RNA is filed under the name uncultured bacterium. RNAcentral's name for it is "partial 16S ribosomal RNA". It matches the Rfam family "Bacterial small subunit ribosomal RNA", at positions 793 to 1055 of the family's 1533-position model. The record is from RNAcentral.
GUCCACGCUGUAAACGAUGAGCGCUAGGUGUUGUGGGUGUUGACCCCCGCAGUGCCGCAGCUAACGCAUUAAGCGCUCCGCCUGGGAAGUACGGCCGCAAGGCUAAAACUCAAAGGAAUUGACGGGGGCCCCGCACAAGCGGUGGAGCAUGUGGUUUAAUUCGACGCAACGCGCAGAACCUUACCUGGUCUUGACAUCCUCGGAAUCCUUCAGAGAUGAGGGAGUGCCCGCAAGGGAGCCGAGAUACAGGUGCUGCAUGGCUGUCGU